This 206-nucleotide ribosomal RNA is filed under the name uncultured bacterium. Its description in RNAcentral is "partial 16S ribosomal RNA". It matches the Rfam family "Bacterial small subunit ribosomal RNA", at positions 568 to 774 of the family's 1533-position model. The record is from RNAcentral.
CGCGUAGGCGGCUCGAAAAGUCAGGGGUGAAAUCCGGCAGCUUAACUGUCGCAGUGCCUUUGAUACUGUCGAGCUCGAGGGAUGUAGGGGUCUGUGGAACUUCCGGUGGAGCGGUGAAAUGCGUUGAUAUCGGAAGGAACGCCGGUGGCGAAAGCGACGGACUGGACAUCUUCUGACGCUGAGGCGCGAAAGCCAGGGAGCAAACG